Long non-coding RNA from Mauremys reevesii (Reeves's turtle), 721 nucleotides. RefSeq lists it as uncharacterized. The transcript has 3 exons. The record is from RefSeq and is a predicted model, not a curated record. Lineage: Eukaryota; Metazoa; Chordata; Testudines; Geoemydidae.
GGAUUUCAGCCCAGUGCCAGAGGAGCAGGGAGGGGCUGGGGAUGUUCGUGCUGAGAGCAAUGGCGAGGGCGACAAUGGCAGGAAGUUCACUAGCCCCGCUACCGGUUUGCAGCAGCUGCUGUCAGAGCUCCGUGGCGCGGAUCUGUUUCCGGUGCUGCCUGGGACUCGGCGCUGGGACCCACCCACGAGGCGGCAUGGAUUCCCUCUCAUCCAGAAAAACUACCAAAGAAGAUGGAGGCAGAACUGAGAAUCUGCUGCUGAUCAGAACCGACUUUGUUUUGAGGCCGUGUGUACCCACACUUGAACCGCUUCAGCUGAACUGGUGCAAGCGCGUGUGUGGACACUCUUAUUUCAGUUUAGCUUAAACCUCUUCCUAGAGGACUUGGAGCUAAAUCGCAAUCAGUCUGGUUAAAAUGGGAACACAUUCACACGCUUUUCACUGGCUGAGCAUCACGCCUUUAAACUAAACUGGUGCACAACUGAAUUUACAUGGAUCCUGAAUCGCAGAGAGUUGUAGGCAGUGAGAUUGAGCUGCUCAGAGUCCAGCAUGCCCCCCAGGGACUCCAAGGGAGAGGCGAGACGGAGGAGCACUUUAACUGCAGUGGAGAUGUGGAGAAAGGCCAGGCUUUGAAACAGGAGAGCAGUAGGCAGGCUCAGCUGUGUGCAUGUACCCGGGGCCCUGCUCUGUGUGAGUAACAAGCAGGUGUCAGGGGACAGCAGG